GCCUCUUUAUAAAUUCUUCAAUUUGACUUAUGGUGCUGUGGGUCAGAUGCUCUUUGUGACCUUCUGGAAGGGAAGUUUUUAGUGACCUAGAGAAGGAGCAAUAGGAAGGCCAAUAUCUACACUAUGAACAGAAGUAGAAAUGGUGAUGGAUUGUCUGGCAAGAUGCAUUUGGCUUUUCAGGGAAGAACAGGGGUGGCCUCCAAUGACCAAUGAAACCAAGGAAAGAGAAAAAAUUUUCUGCUAGAAAAUGUAUCUGAUCAAAAAAAUAUAAUGCUUAUAUGACACUUAUUCAGGCAGACUCCUUUAAAGUCUUUACAGAGAACACUGUGUUCCACUGUGUUGCAGAAAUCAGUAAAAUUGCAGGAGAGUCACUGUCAGCUGGAUAUUGGUGCUGUAUAGCUUGGUGA
This 407-nucleotide long non-coding RNA is filed under the name Cyanistes caeruleus (blue tit). RNAcentral describes it as "lncRNA (ENSCCEG00000014110.1)". The record is from RNAcentral. Lineage: Eukaryota; Metazoa; Chordata; Aves; Passeriformes; Paridae.